GAUGAAGAACGUAGCGAAAUGCGAUAAGUAAUGUGAAUUGCAGAAUUCAGUGAACCAUCGAAUCUUUGAACGCACAUUGCGCCCGGCAGUAAUCUGCCGGGCAUGCCUGUCCGAGCGUCAUUUCUCCCCUCGAGCGCAGCUUUCCCCCCCGGGGGAGGGCCGCGCCCGGUGUUGGGGCGCUACGGAGGAGCCCAGCGCUCCCCCGUAGGCCCCGAAAUGUAGUGGCGGUCCCGCCGCGGCGCCCCCUGCGUAGUAGUUUUACAACUCGCAUCGGGUCCCGGCGGAGGCCAGCCGUCAAACCCCCAACUUCAAUAGUUUGACCUCGGAUCAGGUAGGGUUACCCGCUGAACUUAAGCAUAUCAAUAAGCGGAGGA
This 374-nucleotide unclassified non-coding RNA is filed under the name soil metagenome. RNAcentral describes it as "partial contains 5.8S ribosomal RNA, internal transcribed spacer 2, and large subunit ribosomal RNA". The stretch from base 1 to 120 matches the Rfam family "5.8S ribosomal RNA", at positions 35 to 154 of the family's 154-position model. The record is from RNAcentral.